CCUACGGGUGGCAGCAGUGAGGACUAUUGGUCAAUGGACGAGAGUCUGAACCAGCCAAGUAGCGUGAAGGAUGACUGCCCUAUGGGUUGUAAACUUCUUUUAUAUGGGAAUAAACUGUUCCACGUGUGGGAUUUUGUAUGUACCAUAUGAAUAAGGAUCGGCUAACUCCGUGCCAGCCGCUGCGGUAAUACGGAGGAUCCGAGCGUUAUCUGGGUGUAUUGGGUUUAAAGGGAGUGGAGGUGGAUUGUUAAGUCAGUUGUGAAAGUUUGCGGCUCAACCGUAAAAUUGCCGUUGAUACUGGCAGUCUUGAGUACAGUAGAGGUGGGCGGAAUUCGUGGUGUAGCGGUGAAAUGCUUAGAGAUCACGAAGAACUCCGAUUGCGAAGGCAGCUCACUGGACUGCAACUGACACUGAGGAUCGAAAGUGUGGGUAUCAAACAGGAUUAGAUACCCUUGUAGUC
This 460-nucleotide ribosomal RNA is filed under the name uncultured bacterium. RNAcentral describes it as "partial 16S ribosomal RNA". It matches the Rfam family "Bacterial small subunit ribosomal RNA", at positions 338 to 795 of the family's 1533-position model. The record is from RNAcentral.